Molecule: long non-coding RNA, 719 nt
Filed under: Olea europaea (common olive)
Lineage: Eukaryota; Viridiplantae; Streptophyta; Magnoliopsida; Lamiales; Oleaceae
Description: long non-coding RNA (OEUR_LNC009064)
Source: RNAcentral
UGUUUCACAAAUUAACAAAAAUUUGUCAUUUUGGAUGGGUACGUCUUUAAUCCAAGUGGACAAAUAAACACUGUUGAGCUGCCACAUCAAUUUUUCGUCGCAUACUUGGAAUUUUUCGUUAAUUAAGGGUAAUAGGUUGGAAAUGAGUGAUGGAUGUGUAAACCCGUAAAUAGAUGAGUGUGUAGUGGGUUACCAUUUUUUGUUCAAAGAACAAGUAGUAACCCAGGGUGAAAUUCAGUGAGCAUUCAUUUAAUUAACUCAUGUACAAGUUUGUGCUUGUCAAGCUACUAAGCAACCAUUUGUUCCUUUUGCUGAUUAUCAUUUCUGAGAGAUGUCGAUUUUUGGUUUUUGAGUAUGAAAUCUGAGAUCAAUCAACUACUACAUGGUAUAUAAUGAACAUAAAUAUAUCUGCAAUUUCAGGAAUUAGUGAUGCAGUGCAUAAGCAACCAUAUAGCCUUUUUACGUGUUCGAUUUUCAUAGUUAAUUUUCUUACUAUAUGAAGUUCAUUUACGUGUUCGAUUUUUAUUAUUGGAUUUGUAGGGAUAGGUGCAGGACACUUGUCAGGGACUCUAGAUCUUCCUACCCAAGGGGCAUGUAAAUAAAUUAGGACCUCUCGUAUCGUGCGUACUACUCGAGAGAACAUUAGAGUUUUAUAUAAUUAACUGAGCAUACCAGCUACAAGUUUUGGAGUCAAUAGUUGUUAGUUCAUGACAUCGGAU